RNAcentral lists this transfer RNA (86 nucleotides) under Rickettsiales bacterium. RNAcentral describes it as "tRNA-Leu". It matches the Rfam family "tRNA". Rfam says of the family: Transfer RNA (tRNA) molecules are approximately 80 nucleotides in length. Lineage: Bacteria; Pseudomonadati; Pseudomonadota; Alphaproteobacteria; Rickettsiales. The record is from RNAcentral.
GCCCGCGUGAUGGAAUGGUAGACAUAACAGACUUAAAAUCUGUGGAACGCAAGUUCAUGCCGGUUCGAGUCCGGCCGUGGGUACCA